This 419-nucleotide ribosomal RNA is filed under the name Marenzelleria neglecta. RNAcentral describes it as "partial 16S ribosomal RNA". It matches the Rfam family "Bacterial large subunit ribosomal RNA", at positions 1978 to 2612 of the family's 2925-position model. The record is from RNAcentral. Lineage: Eukaryota; Metazoa; Annelida; Polychaeta; Spionida; Spionidae.
AAUUAGAGGCUGGAAUGAAUGAAUAUACGAGAGUUUAGCUGUUUCAUUUUUACUUCUAAAAAUUAUCCUUUAAGUGAAGAGACUUAAAUAAAAUAAAAAGACAAAAAGACCCUAUUGAGCUUUAUUUCAUAAGUUAAACUUCUAUAGCCCAUGCAAAAGAACCUUACCUAUAGAAAUUUUGUUGGGGCGACAAGAGAAGACCUAAAUCUUCUCUAUACUACAAGAAUAUUCCUCUACUAAUGAUCCGUAAUAAACGAUUAACAGAGCCAGCUACCAUAGGGAUAACAGGCUAAUCUUCUUUGAGAGCCCAAAUUGACAAGAAGGAUUGGCACCUCGAUGUUGGCUUAGGAUACCUGAUAGAUGCAGAAGUCUUUCAAGUGGGUUUGUUCAACCUUUAAUAUCCUACGUGAUCUGAGUUC